AAGGAUCAUUACCGAGUUCAUGCCCUUCGGGGUAGAUCUCCCACCCUUUGUAUACUAUACCUUUGUUGCUUUGGCGGGCCGCCUAGCUACUGGCUUCGGCUGGUAAGUGCCCGCCAGAGAACCCAAAACCCUGAAUUAUUAGUGUCGUCUGAGUAAAAUAUUUAAUAUUUAAAACUUUCAACAACGGAUCUCUUGGCUCUG
This 201-nucleotide unclassified non-coding RNA is filed under the name uncultured fungus. RNAcentral describes it as "partial contains 5.8S ribosomal RNA, internal transcribed spacer 2, and large subunit ribosomal RNA". The record is from RNAcentral. Lineage: Eukaryota; Fungi.